This 486-nucleotide ribosomal RNA is filed under the name uncultured bacterium. Its description in RNAcentral is "bacterial SSU rRNA". It matches the Rfam family "Bacterial small subunit ribosomal RNA", at positions 28 to 507 of the family's 1533-position model. The record is from RNAcentral.
GAGAGACGCUGGCGGCGUGGAUUAGGCAUGCAAGUCGAACGGUAUCAUCCUUCGGGGGUGAGAGAGUGGCGAACUGGUGAGUAACACGUAGGUUAUCUACCCUCAAGACGGGGACAACCCAGGGAAACUUGGGCUAAUACCGGAUGUGAGCAACUUUUAGUUGUUUGAAAGGUGGCGUAAGCUGUCGCUUGGGGAUGAGCCUGCGUCCUAUUAGUUAGUUGGUGAGGUAACGGCUCACCUAGGCAAUGAUAGGUAGGCGGCCUUAACGGGUGGUCGCCCACACUGGGAUUGAGAUACGGCCCAGACUCCUACGGGAGGCAGCAGUCGAGAAUAGUCUACAAUGGUCGGAAGACUGAUAGUGCGACGCCGCGUGAACGAUGAAUCCCUUCGGGGUGUAAAGUUCUUUUAUAUGUGAGCAGUGCUUCUUAUAUUAACAGUAUGGGGAGAGAGAUAUUAGCAUAUGAAUAAGCAACGGCUAACUCCGUG